This 1439-nucleotide ribosomal RNA is filed under the name uncultured bacterium. RNAcentral's name for it is "partial 16S ribosomal RNA". It matches the Rfam family "Bacterial small subunit ribosomal RNA". The record is from RNAcentral.
AGGGUUUGAUCAUGGCUCAGAACGAACGCUGGCGGCAGGCCUCAUACAUGCAAGUCGAGCGGUCCUUCGGGACAGCGGCGAACGGGUUAGUAACGCGUGGGAACGUGCCCUUUAGUACGGAAUAGCCAUUGGAAACGAUGAUUAAUACCGUAUACGCCCCAAGGGGGAAAGAUUUAUCGCUAAAGGAUCGGCCCGCGUUAGAUUAGGUAGUUGGUAGGGUAAUGGCCUACCAAGCCUAUGACGCGUAGCAGGUCUUAGCGGAUGAUCUGCCACAUGGGGACUGAGAUACGGCCCUGACUCCUACGGGAGGCAGCAGUGAGGAAUAUUGGGCAAUGGACGAAAGUCUGACCCAGCGAUGCCGCGUGAAGGAUGAAGGCCUUAGGGUUGUAAACUUCUGUCAGCAGGGAAGAUAAUGACGGUACCUGCAGAGGAAGCCCCGGCUAACUCCGUGCCAGCAGCCGCGGUAAUACGGAGGGGGCAAACGUUACUCGGAUUUACUGGGCGUAAAGGGUCCGUAGGCGGUUUUUUAAGUUAGAUGUGAAAGCUUGAAGCUUAACUUCAAAAUUGCAUCUAAAACUGGAUUACUUGAUUAUUGGAGAGGUUGAUGGAAUUACCGGUGUAGCGGUGAAAUGCGUAGAUAUCGGUAGGAACACCAGUGGCGAAAGCGAUCAACUGGCCAAUUAAUGACGCUGAGGGACGAAAGCGUGGGUAGCAAACAGGAUUAGAUACCCUGGUAGUCCACGCCCUAAACGAUGAAUACUAGAUGUAGGAUUUUUUCUGUAUCGUAGCUAACGCAUUAAGUAUUCCGCCUGGGGAGUACGGUCGCAAGGCUGAAACUCAAAGGAAUUGGCGGGGACUCGCACAAGCGGUGGAGCAUGUGGUUUAAUUCGAUGCAACGCGAAAAACCUUACCUACACUUGACAUACUUGGUAUCUUCUGUAAUCGAAGAGUGCCUUUUGGAACCAAGAUACAGGUGCUGCAUGGCUGUCGUCAGCUCGUGUCGUGAGAUGUUGGGUUAAGUCCCAUAACGAGCGCAACCCUUACCCUUAUUUGCCAGCGAUUCGGUCGGGAACUAUAAGGGGACUGCCGGUGAUAAACCGGAGGAAGGUGAGGACGACGUCAAGUCAUCAUGGCCCUUACGUGUAGGGCUACACACGUGCUACAAUGGGGAGUACAGAUGGACGCUAAAGCGCGAGCUGGUGCUAAUCCCAAAAAACUCCUCGUAGUCCGGAUUGCAGUCUGCAACUCGACUGCAUGAAGUCGGAAUCGCUAGUAAUCGCGCAUCAGCACGGCGCGGUGAAUACGUUCCCGGGUCUUGUACACACCGCCCGUCAAGCCAUGGAAGUCGGCAGUACCCGAAGCCGGUGGCCCAACCUUUUGGAGGGAGCCGUCUAAGGUAAGGCUGGUAACUAGGGCUAAGUCAUAACAAGGUAGCCGUA